Molecule: ribosomal RNA, 749 nt
Filed under: uncultured rumen protozoa
Lineage: Eukaryota
Description: bacterial SSU rRNA
Rfam family: Eukaryotic small subunit ribosomal RNA
Source: RNAcentral
GCUACAACCCACGCGUCGCACUGGAUUCUCACUCAAGUAUAGUUUCUACACAGUAACUGCGAUGGCUCAUUACAACAGUUACUGUUUAUUUGAUACAUUAAAUGGAUAACUGUAGAAAAACUAGAGCUAAUACAUGCCGAAGCCGCAAGGUUGUAUUUAUUAGAUAUUCCAAUUAGGUGAAUCAUGAUAACUUUGCAAUUCUCGGUUUUUGCCGAGAUAAAUCAUCCAAGUUUCUGCCCUAUCAUGCUUUCGAUGGUAGUGUAUUGGACUACCAAGAAAAAAAAAAGAAAACAGGGAAUUAGGGUCUUUUCUUUUUGAGAAGGAGCCUGAGACACGGCUACUACAUCUACGGAAGGCAGCAGGCGCGUAAAUUACCCAAUCCUGACUCAGGGAGGUGGUGAUUAUUCUAUAACAACGCAAUUUCAUUGGAUUGUAGUGAGGGUAUUCCAAACCGACCACUAGUACGAUUAGAGGGCAGUCUGGUGCAGCAGCCGCGGUAUUCCAGCUCUAAUAGCGUAUAUAAAGUUGCUGCAGUAACAGCUCGUAGUGGAUUCAGAUGUGACUUCCCGAGUUGCACUACUAGUCUUGACUGUACUGGAAAAUAAGUGUUAAGCAGCUAUGCAAUCUUACUGAUACAAGUCAAUCUGUUAUCAGUCAUUAAACAGUGGGCUAUUAUGCAGAAAUCUGGUUGUAAUCGCAGUCGGUUUCUAACAGAGAAUACUGCCUCUUCUGUGAGCACACUCAUUGGC